CCAGUCUUCGGUCCCGGGUAUACGAUAGCUGCGCUCCCCUGUUAGAACCUCCAAACAAGCUCAAGGUCCAUUUGUAGGAGAACGUAGGGUAGUCAUAGGAAUAUUUCAAAAGAAUUUUUAACUUCACAUGUUAAUGUAU
Molecule: small nuclear RNA, 139 nt
Filed under: Anolis carolinensis (green anole)
Lineage: Eukaryota; Metazoa; Chordata; Lepidosauria; Squamata; Anolidae
Description: 7SK RNA
Rfam family: 7SK RNA
About the family: 7SK was discovered as an abundant small nuclear RNA in the mid-70s but a possible function has only recently been suggested. Two independent studies have found that 7SK RNA binds the CDK9/cyclin T complex (known as elongation factor P-TEFb).
Source: Rfam by way of RNAcentral